RNAcentral lists this unclassified non-coding RNA (837 nucleotides) under Hevea brasiliensis (rubber tree). Lineage: Eukaryota; Viridiplantae; Streptophyta; Magnoliopsida; Malpighiales; Euphorbiaceae. The record is from RNAcentral.
UGGUUAAGAUGGGAUUUGACAGGAACAACCUUACUGAGUCUCUUCGCAAUAGAGUUCAAAAUGAGGGCACUGUUGCAUACUAUCUGCUCCUGGACAAUCGCCAUCGUGUUUCCACUGGCUAUCUUGGAGCUGAAUUUCAGGAGUCCAUGGAAUAUGGUUACAACCGGAUCAAUUCUAAUGAAACCGCUGCUUCCCCUGUUGGUCAACGUUUCCCAGGAAUAAUGGAUUAUCAGCAAGCUGGUGCAAGACAGUUCCCCAUUGAAAGAAAAUGGGCUCUUGGCCUCCAGUCUCGAGCGCAUCCACGUGAAAUAAUGACUGAAGUUUUGAAAGCUCUGCAAGAACUGAAUGUAUGUUGGAAAAAGAUUGGUCAGUAUAACAUGAAAUGUCGAUGGGUUCCUAGCUUACCUGGUCAUCAUGAAGGCAUGGGUGUUAAUUCCAUGCAUGGGAAUCAGUUCUUUGGAGAUGAUUCAUCCAUCAUUGAGAAUGAUGGGGCCACAAAGUUAACAAAUGUGGUCAAGUUUGAAGUUCAGCUUUACAAAACCAGGGAGGAGAAGUACUUGCUUGACCUUCAGAGACUUCAGGGUCCACAAUUCCUCUUCCUGGAUCUCUGUGCUGCUUUUCUUGCUCAGCUUCGAGUACUUUAAAGUCUCCGAAAUAAGGAGCUAAGUUGGAAAAAGCCCAUGCUUGUAUAUAAUUGGUAUACCAGCUCAGUUACUGCAUUUUGUCUUGUUAACAAAUUCCACCCUGCUUGGUCAGAGGUGCCUAGCAACUCUUUUUUUCUUUUGAUUCGCUAGGAGAUCUAGCUCACUCUCUUUUUUAACGUUUAUGGAAUUUCAG